UCUUCAUUCCUUAUACUAUCUCACCGGUCAGAGAGGCGAGAGAGUGUGUGAAAUGAAGAGA
Pristionchus pacificus is the source of this 61-nucleotide non-coding RNA. The record is from Rfam. Lineage: Eukaryota; Metazoa; Nematoda; Chromadorea; Rhabditida; Neodiplogasteridae.